AGAACGAACGCUGGCGGCAGGCUUAACACAUGCAAGUCGAACGCCCCGCAAGGGGAGUGGCAGACGGGUGAGUAACGCGUGGGAAUCUACCUGGUUCUACGGAAUAACUGAGGGAAACUUCAGCUAAUACCGUAUACGCCCCAAGGGGGAAAGAUUUAUCGGUGCCAGAUGAGCCCGCGUUGGAUUAGCUAGUUGGUGGGGUAAUGGCCUACCAAGGCGACGAUCCAUAGCUGGUCUGAGAGGAUGAUCAGCCACACUGGGACUGAGACACGGCCCAGACUCCUACGGGAGGCAGCAGUGGGGAAUAUGGACAAUGGGCGAAGCCUGAUCCAGCCAUGCCGCGUGAGUGAUGAAGGCCUUAGGGUUGUAAAGCUCUUUCAGUGGGGAAGAUAAUGACGGUACCCACAGAAGAAGCCCCGGCUAACUUCGCGCCAGCAGCCGC
RNAcentral lists this ribosomal RNA (442 nucleotides) under uncultured bacterium. RNAcentral's name for it is "SSU rRNA". It matches the Rfam family "Bacterial small subunit ribosomal RNA", at positions 26 to 518 of the family's 1533-position model. The record is from RNAcentral.